CAACCGAGUGACCUUUUAACAUUUUGCCUGGGCAUGCUGUCUUGUGUUGGCAUAACCACCGUCACAUUUAAGAAAAUGAUCAAGUUUUCUAAAUAGCUACCAUCAAUGGAGUGUCUACUAUAUUCUAAGCACAGUGACAAGAGCUGAAUGUGCAUUAUCUGAUUUAAUUACUCCCUGGAUCUUACCAGCUGGAUGCUGCAUAAUUAGCAUAAAGGGCUCAGGACCAGCUAAAAAAAUAGGACUCAGAAGACAGGCAGGUGUAGAGCACAAUACCAGUGUCAACACUGACAUGCCAACCAGGACAGCUAGCUUCACAGCCCCAAAGUCUUCCUGACAUCUCCCACACCUGCCAUCCCCCAAGCCUGACCUCAGGUGGUCCAGCUGAGGGUGCCAUCACCCGCACCGUGACCUUGCCUUCAUCUGGAGGAGAGAGGGAUAAACACUCUGCACUUGGAGCCCCCGGUAACAGGCUAGCAAGAGUCCAUGGGGAGACGUCCACAUCACUACCCACCAACCUGGAAUGCCCCUCAACGGGGAGUGAGCGAGGCAGUGAAAGCAGAAACCAGGAGUCCUCCCCUUGGGAACUGGGAACUCCCACGGAAGGGAGGCCGUCCUCCCUCAGGCAUUUGAACAGAACAAUGAAAAAGGAAGAAAGUAAAAAGCAAAAAAGGGCAAAAUCUGCCUCAAAACAGUCCCUGGUGAAGAUGGUCUUACUGAACUUGAUUUCAAGCUUUCAAAUAACACAUAACUCCUAUGUUAAAUAGCCUUCGGAAACAUAGUAAAAAAAGGGUUUUUUUAAUUAAAAUAAGUGGAAAUGUUUCCAAUUUCUUUAGAACCCAACAUAAUUCCUUCUCCGGAUUUAUCUUAUGAAACAUACAUACCAGAUUCCUAUAUAAAGAACUGGGAAAGGAAGCACAGUGAUCCUCGGGAAAAAAAAAAAAUGCACUAUCACCAAGUAGAGAUUAUUCCAGGAAUGCAAUAUAAGAAAUCCAUGAAUAUAAAUCAUGUAAAUUGGUAAAAGGAUAAAAACCAUAUGAUCAUCUCAAUAGAUGCCAAAAAGGCUUUUGAUAAAAUUUAAUAUGCAUUCUUCAUUUUAUGUGUACACACACACACACACGCAUGCACACACACACACACACACUCCAAGAGUGAGGUUACCUGCAAGCAGAGAAGACUGCAUCAUAUCUCCUGAUUAGACUACUUUUGGAAUAUGAGGUUCUGAGCAGGGGAAACACAUAGUGGGGAGAGCUGGCUAUGAGAGAGAAGUAGAAUGGAAGAGUACAGCAAGAACAUGAACCUCCCAAGUCAAGAGCCGUCCUACCAAAGUUCAUCCAAAAGGAAGCCUGCUGAAAAGAAGAGGUGAGAGAGGUAGGGCUGCCAGAUAAAAUACAGGAUAUCCAGUUAAA
Molecule: long non-coding RNA, 1406 nt
Organism: Prionailurus viverrinus (fishing cat)
Lineage: Eukaryota; Metazoa; Chordata; Mammalia; Carnivora; Felidae
Exons: 3
Source: RefSeq, a predicted model, not a curated record